Molecule: transfer RNA, 67 nt
Filed under: Marmota monax (woodchuck)
Lineage: Eukaryota; Metazoa; Chordata; Mammalia; Rodentia; Sciuridae
Description: tRNA.Gly
Rfam family: tRNA (bases 5-64)
About the family: Transfer RNA (tRNA) molecules are approximately 80 nucleotides in length. Their secondary structure includes four short double-helical elements and three loops (D, anti-codon, and T loops).
Source: RNAcentral
GGAUAUAGCUCAAUUGGUAGAGUGCUUGCCUCCCAUGCACAAGGCCCUGGGUUCAAUCCUCAGUCCG